Cucurbita moschata (crookneck pumpkin) is the source of this 434-nucleotide long non-coding RNA. RefSeq lists it as uncharacterized. The transcript is spliced from 2 exons. The record is from RefSeq and is a predicted model, not a curated record. NCBI's taxonomy places the organism in Eukaryota, Viridiplantae, Streptophyta, Magnoliopsida, Cucurbitales, Cucurbitaceae.
GUACCAUUGUUGAGAGUCGUGGUUCCGGCGUGUUACGAGAGUCAUGCUCUUAGCUUAGUCAUGUUAAUGGAAUCCUUAAGUGUCGGACAAAGACGUUGUGAGCAUCGGAGGUGUAGUCAAAAGUGACUCAAGUGUCAAACAAAUAGUGUACUUUGCUAGAGGGCUUUAAAGGAGUCGAGGAAGGCUCUAUAGUGUACUUUGUUCGAAGGGAAGAUUGUUGGGAGAGGAGUCCUACCUCAGCUAAUUAAAGAGUUAAUUAUGGGUUUAAGUAAAAAAUACAUCUCCAUUGGUACGAGAGCUUAUAUUCAACGUACUAUUGCGGAGAGUCGUAACAUAAGAGAAAGAGAUCCAAUCCAAGACAAUGAGAUAAAAGCGAGUGUUUUACACAUAGAAGACAAAGGAUAGAACAAUCCAUACAACUUUUUCUCACCCAA